UGGGGAAUAUUGGACAAUGGGCGAAAGCCUGAUCCAGCAACGCCGCGUGGAGGAUGAAGGCCUUCGGGUUGUAAACUCCUGUCAGGUGGAACGAAAAGCCCGGGUGAAUAACCAGGGUCUAUGACGGUACCGCCAGAGGAAGCCCCGGCUAACUCCGUGCCAGCAGCCGCGGUAAUACGGAGGGGGCGAGCGUUAUUCGGAAUCAUUGGGCGUAAAGGGCGCGUAGGCGGCCCUGCAAGUCAGUGGUGAAAUCCCUCGGCUCAACCGAGGAACUGCCUCUGAAACUGCUGGGCUUGAGACCGGGAGAGGGUAGUGGAAUUCCGAGUGUAGCGGUGAAAUGCGUAGAUAUUCGGAGGAACACCAGUGGCGAAGGCGACUACCUGGACCGGUUCUGACGCUGAGGCGCGAAAGUGUGGGGAGCAAACAGGAUUAGAUACCCCCGUAGUCC
This 448-nucleotide ribosomal RNA is filed under the name uncultured prokaryote. RNAcentral's name for it is "bacterial SSU rRNA". It matches the Rfam family "Bacterial small subunit ribosomal RNA", at positions 355 to 796 of the family's 1533-position model. The record is from RNAcentral.